Molecule: ribosomal RNA, 429 nt
Filed under: bacterium
Lineage: Bacteria
Description: partial 16S ribosomal RNA
Rfam family: Bacterial small subunit ribosomal RNA
Source: RNAcentral
UGGGGAAUAUUGGACAAUGGGCGAAAGCCUGAUCCAGCCAUGCCGCGUGUGUGAAGAAGGUCUUCGGAUUGUAAAGCACUUUAAGUUGGGAGGAAGGGUUGUAGAUUAAUACUCUGCAAUUUUGACGUUACCGACAGAAUAAGCACCGGCUAACUCUGUGCCAGCAGCCGCGGUAAUACAGAGGGUGCAAGCGUUAAUCGGAAUUACUGGGCGUAAAGCGCGCGUAGGUGGUUUGUUAAGUUGGAUGUGAAAUCCCCGGGCUCAACCUGAGAAUUGCAUUCAAAACUGACUGACUAGAGUAUGGUAGAGGGUGGUGGAAUUUCCUGUGUAGCGGUGAAAUGCGUAGAUAUAGGAAGGAACACCAGUGGCGAAGGCGAACACCUGGACUAAUACUGACACUGAGGUGCGAAAGCGUGGGGAGCAAACAGG